GACGAACGCUGGCGGCGUGCCUAAUACAUGCAAGUCGAACGCACGAAGUUGAAGAGCUUGCUCUUUAACCAAGUGAGUGGCGGACGGGUGAGUAACACGUGGGUAACCUGCCCAUUAGAGGGGGAUAACAUUCGGAAACGGAUGCUAAUACCGCAUAGUUUCAGGAAUCGCAUGAUUCUUGAAGGAAAGGUGGCUUCGGCUACCACUAAUGGAUGGACCCGCGGCGUAUUAGCUAGUUGGUGAGGUAAUGGCUCACCAAGGCAAUGAUACGUAGCCGACCUGAGAGGGUGAUCGGCCACACUGGGACUGAGAUACGGCCCAGACUCCUACGGGAGGCAGCAGUGGGGGAUAUUGCACAAUGGGCGCAAGCCUGAUGCAGCGACGCCGCGUGGGGGAUGGAGGCUUUCGGGUUGUAAACCCCUUUCGGCGCGGGACAAGGCUCCGUUUGGCGGGGUUGAGGGUACGCGUCAAAGAAGCGCCGGCUAACUACGUGCCAGCAGCCGCGGUAAUACGUAGGGCGCGAGCGUUGUCCGGAAUUAUUGGGCGUAAAGGGCUCGUAGGCGGCUUGUCGCGUCUGCUGUGAAAACGCGGGGCUCAACUCCGCGCGUGCAGUGGGUACGGGCAGGCUGGAGUGCGGCAGGGGUGGCUGGAAUUCCUGGUGUAGCGGUGGAAUGCGCAGAUAUCAGGAAGAACACCGAUGGCGAAGGCAGGCCACUGGGCCGUCACUGACGCUGAGGAGCGAAAGCGUGGGGAGCGAACAGG
RNAcentral lists this ribosomal RNA (762 nucleotides) under uncultured Lachnospiraceae bacterium. RNAcentral describes it as "bacterial SSU rRNA". It matches the Rfam family "Bacterial small subunit ribosomal RNA", at positions 28 to 776 of the family's 1533-position model. Lineage: Bacteria; Bacillati; Bacillota; Clostridia; Lachnospirales; Lachnospiraceae. The record is from RNAcentral.